UGGCAUGAACGGCUCUGGGGUUC
This 23-nucleotide non-coding RNA is filed under the name Mus musculus (house mouse). The record is from RNAcentral. Lineage: Eukaryota; Metazoa; Chordata; Mammalia; Rodentia; Muridae.